AUUGAACGCUGGCGGCAUGCCUUACACAUGCAAGUCGAACGGCAGCACGGGUGCUUGCACCUGGUGGCGGGUGGCGAACGGGUGAGUAAUACAUCGGAACAUGUCCUGUAGUGGGGGAUAGCCCGGCGAAAGCCGGAUUAAUACCGCAUACGAUCUACGGAUGAAAGCGGGGGACCUUCGGGCCUCGCGCUAUCGGGUUGGCCGAUGGCUGAUUAGCUAGUUGGUGGGGUAAAGGCCUACCAAGGCGACGAUCAGUAGCUGGUCUGAGAGGACGACCAGCCACACUGGGACUGAGACACGGCCCAGACUCCUACGGGAGGCAGCAGUGGGGAAUUUUGGACAAUGGGCGAAAGCCUGAUCCAGCAAUGCCGCGUGUGUGAAGAAGGCCUUCGGGUUGUAAAGCACUUUUGUCCGGAAAGAAAUCCUUGGCUCUAAUACAGUCGGGGGAUGACGGUACCGGAAGAAUAAGCACCGGCUAACUACGUG
Molecule: ribosomal RNA, 486 nt
Filed under: uncultured bacterium
Lineage: Bacteria
Description: partial 16S ribosomal RNA
Rfam family: Bacterial small subunit ribosomal RNA
Source: RNAcentral